GAUGAACGCUAGCUACAGGCUUAACACAUGCAAGUCGAGGGGAAACGGCAUUGAGUGCUUGCACUCUUUGGACGUCGACCGGCGCACGGGUGAGUAACGCGUAUCCAACCUUCCCAUUACUGUGGGAUAACCUGCCGAAAGGCAGACUAAUACCGCAUAGUCUUCGAUGACGGCAUCAGAUUUGAAGUAAAGAUUUAUCGGUAAUGGAUGGGGAUGCGUCUGAUUAGCUUGUUGGCGGGGUAACGGCCCACCAAGGCUACGAUCAGUAGGGGUUCUGAGAGGAAGGUCCCCCACAUUGGAACUGAGACACGGUCCAAACUCCUACGGGAGGCAGCAGUGAGGAAUAUUGGUCAAUGGACGGAAGUCUGAACCAGCCAAGUAGCGUGCAGGAUGACGGCCCUAUGGGUUGUAAACUGCUUUUGAAUGGGGAUAAAGUUAGGGACGUGUCCCUAUUUGCAGGUACCAUACGAAUAAGGACCGGCUAAGUCCGUG
RNAcentral lists this ribosomal RNA (492 nucleotides) under uncultured bacterium. RNAcentral's name for it is "partial 16S ribosomal RNA". It matches the Rfam family "Bacterial small subunit ribosomal RNA", at positions 28 to 507 of the family's 1533-position model. The record is from RNAcentral.